ACGUAGGGGGCUAGCGUUAUCCGGAGUUACUGGGCGUAAAGGGUGCGUAGGCGGUCUUUCAAGUCAGGAGUGAAAGGCUACGGCUCAACCGUAGUAAGCUCUUGAAACUGGGAGACUUGAGUGCAGGAGAGGAGAGUGGAAUGCCUAGUGUAGCGGUGAAAUGCGUAGAUAUUAGGAGGAACACCAGUUGCGAAGGCGGCUCGCUGGACUGUAACUGACGCUGAGGCACGAAAGCGUGGGGAGCAAACAGGAUUAGAUACCCUGGUAGUCCACGCUGUAAACGAUGAGUACUAGGUGUCGGGGGUUACCCCC
RNAcentral lists this ribosomal RNA (312 nucleotides) under Clostridioides difficile. Its description in RNAcentral is "bacterial SSU rRNA". It matches the Rfam family "Bacterial small subunit ribosomal RNA", at positions 525 to 841 of the family's 1533-position model. The record is from RNAcentral. Lineage: Bacteria; Bacillati; Bacillota; Clostridia; Peptostreptococcales; Peptostreptococcaceae.